GCCACACAAUCAAUUUAUUUUUAAAUUUCGCUUAAUUAAUGCAAAUAUAAGGCGAAACGAGAAAAGCCGGGCGAAUAACUUCGUUAGCGUUUGGAGCGGCAAGAAUUUCAAAAUCUACACAAAGGCAAAGCAUCUGAAUUUUACAACAGAACCCUGCCAAAAUUAUACCUCGAAAGUGGUCUAAUUAAAUGAAUCUUACGAGCCGACAGCACCUCACAUUCAUAAGGCCAACUGAGUGUCGUUCAAAUUCAGUUUUGUUAAUUUCAUUAUUCACUCUGCGAAGUCAUUCAACUCGCUGGCUGUUGGUUUAUGUUAGUUUGCUUAUAUAAUCACAUGAAGUGCGUUAAUUUGACAUAAUUAGUGGGCUUCGGCACGAGACGAAGUCAAAACCCCAAGCCCAACAGUCUAAAGGUCUUCGAGUUGAAGAGUAAGCCCCUUUGUCUGACUCCGCUCUUCUAUUUUUCUAGUUUUUAGGUCAAUGGUCUUCGCAGCGGCGAUGUUUGUUGCCAUGUUUGCUGCCAUUUGAUGGCUUGCCAAUUUAACACCUGACAGCUUCGUUUGGGCCAUGUGCACUGGACCAAGCCGUGUGCCAUAAGCGAGCGCAGAUGCCAACGCCCCGGUCCCAAUUCCCCUCGACCACGCCCACAACGGACUCGUGUUACGAGAGCAAUACAUCGGUGUGCACUGUAAGCAAAAGCGUUGUAGUACUGCAGACAUUCGCGUAAAAAGAGAGCUGUUUAAAAUAUAAGGUAGGGGUGAUAUCCUUGAUAUCAAAUGUCAAAACCAUUACAGUAUAAUUCGUAAUAGUUUUUUUUUUAGAUUUCUUGCCAAGUUUUUCUCACUGUGCAGCACCCCAAUCUGGUAGCCAGGCAGUCGGGUUGUCACCAGCCAAACAGCCAACUACUAUGGCCAACCGGCCACGAAAGACCCAGACACGUCUGGCCAUUUAGCAGAGUUAUGCGAUACAUUUUUGCGAAUUUAUUUCUAGUCGGUUGAGGAAAUUUUCCAAAGUUAAACUCUAGAUUUGAUUACGAAAGAGCGGGUGCAGUGGGUGUUUAGAGUUGAUAUGCAAAUGGCUUCGGCAACUUUUUGGUGACAUAGGUAAAAUGUCAAAAUUUCAAUUUGCUGAAAGAGAUUUUAAUCAGAGAUUGUCAAAAUUUUGAUGAACUUUGCGAGCACUUCGUUUAGUUAUGCAAAGACUAUUGAUAGAACGCAAACUUUGCUAAAAUGCAUUCUUUCCACUUCUGAAGAUAAAAAUAUCUAUGCAAGUGAAAUUCCAUUAAAAUGAUUUGGCCAAAUAUCAAUGCAAACGUGAAAUUCUGCAUUAAUAUUUGAUCGCAAAAGAUAAAAGCAAUUGCAAAUUUUAUACCAAACAUUGUAAUUGAAGUGCUUCUUUCACUCAAAACUUUAUUUAUUUGACCCACCCAAAUAUUUUCGCUUAUGCAUCAAAUUUUUGUCAAGAACGCGAGAAGUCGAAUAACAUUUCAGACACUGACCUACUUUAAGGUAAAUAUCAAAGUGGGGGACUGGAGAAAAAUGAAACUAUUUGGGGCCAAUUACCAGCGCUGUGGACAGAGAAAAGAAACUUUGUAAUACAUACAUAUAUUUUUACUUAAUUGAGUAGGUUACCCCGCCCUCGGUCAUCCCACUCCAGUUCUUUAUUAAUUUUUUUCCAUUUUAAUUAUUCAGUUUCUGCCUCGUCUUUUUGUGAAAAGUGAAAUGCUCCGAACCAGAAUUUGUUCAAUGUCUCUGGCUUUUUGGUUUAUUAUUGCCCAUUGCUCCAGUUAAGCUGCAAGACGGGUAAUGUACUAUGUCUGUAUCUAGAUGUAUCUGUAGAUGUAUCUGUAGAAGUAUCUGUAUCUGUGGCUGUCUGCUUGAAUUACAGAGCUUGAACGAGGUUGACACACUUACAUUUAUUUAGCUCAUAAUGAGCUGGCAAAUGAUUUGCCUUUGUCUGAAUGCCUGCUGCUCGCUGGUUUAUUGUUACUGCUUUUUUCACUUUUCAUCAAUAAAAUAAACUGAUGAAAUGCUUUAAACUGCCUCUGUUUGCCCAGCAUAAUGAGGCGUUUCGACAAAGAUAAACAAAAGAAGAAAGAUGCUGCAAAGUCAAAUCAAAGUUGUAGGAAAAUACAAAAGUUUGGAAUAAUAAUGAAAGUCAAGUUAUAUAACCUAUGCAUAUAAAUAAGUUGACAAGAACGUCCGACUUCUGUUGGUUUUUAUGCAAGUUUUUCAUGGAGCUGAGCCAGAACCUCUGAAUUCUGUUUAUGCUGAAGUUGUGCAUACAUAUACAUAUUUGAUGGUUUAAGUUAACUAGAUUACUAUGCUUCCGGCUGGUGAAUGAAAACAAAUACAUAACUUAUUACUUUAAAUAUACAUAUAAUACGAUAAGCUAAUGGGCUGUAAUAUACAAAUAUUCCAUUCCAGCUUUAAAUAAAAUAAUGCCACUUCAUGUGUGCUAUUUAAGAGACAGUCCCUAUGUAUUUUCAUUAAUCUGGACUUUUUUGUUUUCAAUUGAGAGUGCAUAAGCCAUUGUUAUUACACAUUGAGAUUACACAUACGCCAUGUGUGCUGUGUGGAGCGGCAAUUUCCUGCCUUCGAGAGACAAAACAUAACCGAGUGGAGCAUAACCAACGCCCGCUGUCACUUCAAUUCAUAACAGAUGCAAAUAAAUUUCCAUUAAAGUUUGUGCCUCUCCGCACAUUACCCUUUUCGGCGCCCAUUUUCUGCGUGGGCGUAUAACAGGCUAAACAGAUGCUAAGUUCGGAAAUAAAGCAGAGAUUCAUGGGGCAUUAAGGUAUGAAGGCAUGAAGGUGCCCCCCAGAUUUAGAUAAUGACCAUUUCCAGUCACGAGGCGCAAAUUGCGGACUUAAACAAGCAGCAGCAGCAGCUCAACUCUCACACAUUACUUUUCAUAUGUUUAAAUGAAAUAAGUAUCUGGCGGAUACAUAUUUGCAGUGACAGUUGCAUCCACACACGCGAGCUCAAGUGCGAAAAGCCGAGGAUCGUGUUUGUGGCACUGGGAUCUUUGCUGAUUACUUAACUUAUUCAACUUUCUUUUGGGAACCCCAAGGGGCCAAGUUCAAUGUGCUUAGCUUGCGGCUAAUACGCCUCUCCUCUCCUUUCGGCCAAGCUCAACUUUCACAUUCACAUUUACAACCUUUGGCACUUCCUCCACCUCCUGCCACAUGGAAAGAUAAUUUUCCCUGUAACUUUGUGUUGGCCAAACCGAUUCACAUUUGGCCAUUUGGCAAUAUGCUGGCUGCAGUGCAAUCAAUGCUUCUCAUUCGAUAUUUAGCAAGCUCACUCAAAUCAUUCGACUGUGGGGCAAGUUUUUCAUUUCAUUUCUAUUCGCUUCAGCUCGGUUCGCUUCAUUUUCAGACUGGCGAAAAAGUGUAGAUACACAUGCUACUCCCAACGCAUGGGAGUGCAAAAAAAAAAAAAGAAGAAAAUGUAGAAAAAAAUGUUUGCCACCGCCUAUGCAACUAUGAAAUAUCGCAUCGCUCGGCGAGAGUGCGGCUGUACGCGCAUAUAUAUCCCACCCAGAGCUGGAAUAAAUUUAUGUGGGAAGUUUUUGAUGACGUUCGUAAUUUUAGAGCCUCCCCCCCAACAGACUAUGCAACUUAUCUAAUAACGGAGACAGACUUACUACUUCCUGUAAGCCUGCCGGGAAUGUGAAAACGCAGAGGGAGCCAGCGAAAAAAGGGCUGCAUUUAUGCCUGCUGAUAUAAUCUGCACCUAAGAUUUAUGCUUCGGAUUGAAUAUUCUGUAUAUUUGCAGCGAGAUAAGGUAAUAAGUUCGGGAAUUUCUCAUAUUUAAACAGGAGAAGAUUCAACGAGAAUAUAAUGCAUUCUUUCGUCACGAAAUGGAAAUAACAUCAAAACUGAUAAAAACUGAUUUGACUUUGUUAUGAAUGGAGAACCUUUAAAUUAAAUGCACAAAUUAAACUUUAGAGUUCUCUAAAUAAAGCAACAUUCGUGCCUUAAAACAAACUUAUGCAAUCGCUUUGACUAGUGCAAAUUGAAGGCAAAUAAAACGAAGCCAAAUAAGCAAACUAAACCUCUACUCUAGACUCCAAAAUAAAACACCCAGCAAACUGGCUUAGACACCUGCUGUGCUCCUAUAUCCCAAAACUUGUCCGUUUCUGCGUAAUAGGCCAAUUGCAUCAGUUAUAAAAAAUCCAAAAGUAAAGCCAACAACCAAAGUAAACCUUUUCCUACUUCUGCUUUGGGCCAAGCAUGCGCAUUUGGCCAAGAGGGUGGGCUAAGAUUGGUUAAACAAUUGCGAACGCGCAUUUUGGCGUAAAUUGUUUUGCAUAUGCGAGGCAAAAGAAAAGUCCAAAAUUCAGCCAGAGGCGUGUCAUCACAAAAACUAAAAACAAAAGCCGAAAAAUUAAUAUGCAUUGUUGCAGCAGCACGUCGCCCUGCAUAUUUGGACUUUCACUUUUGUUUUCUUUUCAAAAACUGAAGAAAAUAAACGUCCAACGUAAAAAGUAAACAAGAUUUCAAAAUGAACUUAAGACGCACACUCGAUCCACGUCGACAUAUCAAUCAAUUACAAAUGGUUAACACAAAUGAAAACAUUAUGUAUCUUUUUAUUGGGUUUGAGUUCCGAGUUCGGUGGGCGAGCAGCGAUUAAAGUGGGUAACUGCGUUAAUUGCUGAUACCCCUUACUUUCCCUUAUUUACUAGCCACCUCAAUUAAGUCCAGAAAUCACAGUUACGCAUUUCCAAUUGCGCAAUCGUCACAAUCUUUUUCAUAUAUUUUUUUUUUUAUGCUGCCUGUCUGUAGAUUUUCAUGGCUUGCGAAAGUAAACAUUUUUACAAUCCGCUUUAUUUUUUAUUUUUGGCUUCCCGAACAAUGCGUGCAGUUAUUACUAGUUUUGGUUCAUUAAUCAUGUGUCGGGGAAACACUUAUGUGUGUGCACCUGCUGGGCAUAAAAAAAUGAGAAAAUGGGACACACAGAUACCAAUGGGAAAAUUGCCAAGGGCUUCCUUGGGUUGAUUAUGAAUUGACCACAUGAUUAAAGGGCAAAUUUAUCAUGACAUAAGAAGAUUUUCUCUUCGUGUUUACCUAUGAAAAUGGAGCUUAGAUCUGAUGGCAUAAUGGUUAGAAGUCGAUUUACUUUCACAAAAUCAAUCAGUUCGUUUUAAGUAAGUUAUAUUACAUGGUUUCAUUAAUGAUGCUGCAUUGCUAUGAAACUCUACAAAAUCUGACCUCCAUAGUUAAUUCCUACUAUAAGCCUAUUUUAACUGUAUAACUGGAUUAGUUUUCCCCCCUUUUUGUGUUCGGCUCCAAUUGGCUGGCUUAAAGUUUUUAAUUAACUUAAAUCAAUGACAGUUUACAUUUGCGAAAUGGCCAGCUAGGGACUUCAGUUGGUUUCCGAUUGAGACUGUUGCAUUGUUGCAUUGAGACAAUGACAAAGUAACCAGCAACCAAUCGAUCGAUCGGAGUGGAAAGCCGCAGAUGUGGCCAGGGCGAUUAAGUAUCCCAGGCCCAAGGCGGAUGGUCGGUCAACCAGAUGGACAGCUGGAUAGCUGGACAGCUGGACAAUUGCAGCAAAUCACAGUGGGACAGGCACUCGAAAUAUGUGUACUGUUUGCCCGCCGAGUUUCCGCUGAAAGUGCAGGCAAUUUCCACCAAAGAGGCGGAGAUCUAAUGCUGGAAUGAAGUGUUGCCGGGUGAAGAAUUGCUGGCUUGGAUUUUAAUUGCCACUGACCACCGACUAGAAGCAAUGAACUUGCCACCACCACCACCAGGCGGACGUAAUUCGAGCCACAAACAGAAAGCCCCUGAAAUACAAGAUGCUUGUGGGAAAUUCCAAUCCACCGGACCAGCGAAGAACACCACUUGAGGGUGGUGGAUGUGUGUGAAAGUCCAAGGCGGCGAAUUGUGUGUGGAUCAAGUUCGAAUUACCAUAAAAUAUGCAGAGACAACGCAUGCGCAACACGUACACGUAACCCGAUGCAGAUACAUUUUAGUGAACUUGCAGAUACAAAUACAGAUUCAGAUACAGAUACAGAUACUGUCCAGUUCGGCCCUGCUCAGGGUGGCUCGUUCACCUUGGAACGGCGCUCAAAAAAGUCGUUUAAUAUCGAGUUUUGUUGGCUAAAUAAGUCCAAGGGUCGCUGCUCUAUAUUGCGAAGGGGUAAACUCAUACAUACAUAUACAUAUGAAAGGGCUAAAUCCAGUGGCCUUUGGCCAAUUUCAUGCUCGCUGAGGCGUCGUUUCGACAACAUACUGUUUUGUACACUGCUCUUGUUCCACUAAUUGAGUUAUGUUGCACAUUUUGGCAAGCCAGCUUCAUGGUUCUCCGACUGCUGCGGAUAUUUGCCAAUUGAGUUAUUGCCUUUUUGGUUGUGCAUUAGCGUGCGCUCACCUGCGAUUUCCCAAUGGAAAGUUUGGCCAACUCUUUAGACCAAGUUCUGUGUGCUGUUCGCUGUGCGCUGGCACAUUGGCCAAAAACCGGGUUGGCUUGGCAAAUACUGUUAACGGUUUUCCGAGUGCCGUGAAUCGUUUUGUCACGCCUUCGAUUCGAGGCAGAAGCAAGAAAUCCCUACUUAAAUAUUUAUCCAAGUUUCUGGCACCCAGUUGCAGGUUCAGAUUGCAGCUGCAAUAUAGGAAGCCACUUUGAAGCCGAUCCCCAUUGACAGGUGCCUUACCAAAACCCAAAGUCUUGGGGAUUUUAGUGCAAACAUGGGGGGAAAAUGCUUUUACAUAUCAAAUAUUUUGCAGAAAUGAAAAGAAAAUAUUUUCUCUUUGCUUUUUGUUAAUUGUACAAUGUACGUUAAGCAACUUCUUCAAUAUUAAAAUGAACAAAAAUAAGCUGGUAAAAAUAUUUAUGUCAGUUGUCUAUAUCUCAUUCUUAAAUUAA
Molecule: long non-coding RNA, 6870 nt
Organism: Drosophila yakuba
Lineage: Eukaryota; Metazoa; Arthropoda; Insecta; Diptera; Drosophilidae
Exons: 2
Source: RefSeq, a predicted model, not a curated record